Non-coding RNA from Salmo salar (Atlantic salmon), 728 nucleotides. The record is from RefSeq and is a predicted model, not a curated record. NCBI's taxonomy places the organism in Eukaryota, Metazoa, Chordata, Actinopteri, Salmoniformes, Salmonidae.
UGCUGCACAGAGACCAACACCAUGAGACAGGAGCAGAUACCCAGUGUACACUCAGACCAUUUGGCUUGUCUGGCCCGUGAACAGAGGCACACUUGCCGCUGCGAACAAGCCAUCUUUAUCACACCUUAUGGCUUCUGGACUGAAUGGAGCAGGGCCCUCGGUCCGCAUUGCUCUCUGCCAAACCACCUGCUGCCCUCCAGUGUACUGGGCCCAGCCCCCAUCCACCUGGACCUGCUUGAGCAGCUGCUGAGGACAGGCUGACACCUGGUGGCCGGGAGGAUGAGUGCCCUGGACGAGACCCAGAGAUGUCACAUAGCUGAGACACUGAUGCUACCCUCUGAGAGGGAUGGGAAGAUUUCUGCUCUACCUGAGGGCGCUUGUUUUAUCGUUGUUCUACAGAAAGAUUAUGCUGUGACCUGCUUUGACUCCAUGCUUGAAAGGCAUUGCAGCUGCUGUGCUAUCUAUUUGAUGUCCUGUCUCCUGAUAGUCAUCAUACCACAGUAAUCUGAGUGAACCUUAAUUCUAUAGAGCAUUACCAAGAGGGCCAACCUAUUUCCUGGAAUUCUGUGCCAAUCUUUGAUUAUAAUUCAUUUGAUACAUCCCAAUACUGUAUAAAGGAGAUCUUUAUUUAAUUGGUUGUAGUAAGAAACCUUUUCAUGUAACCCCCCCCAAAAGAAAAGUAAAAAAAGGGUAUUUUCAUGUGAAGAAAAUAAAUACUUAAAAUGCUG